Molecule: ribosomal RNA, 253 nt
Filed under: uncultured bacterium
Lineage: Bacteria
Description: partial 16S ribosomal RNA
Rfam family: Bacterial small subunit ribosomal RNA
Source: RNAcentral
UACGUAGGGUCCGAGCGUUGUCCGGAAUCACUGGGCGUAAAGCGCACGUAGGCGGAUUUGCCAGUCAGGGGUGAAAUCCCGGGGCUCAACCUCGGAACUGCCUUUGAUACAGCAAGUCUUGAGUUCGAGAGAGGUGGGUGGAAUUCCUAGUGUAGAGGUGAAAUUCGUAGAUAUUAGGAAGAACACCGGUGGCGAAGGCGGCCCACUGGCUCGACACUGACGCUGAGGUGCGAAAGCGUGGGGAGCAAACAGG